UUAACUCAAAUUUGUACGAAUGUGGAACGUUUGCUUGCGUUUGCCGCUAAGGGCGAUGUUCCAACUGCAUACAAAUUUGAGUUA
Bombyx mori (domestic silkworm) is the source of this 84-nucleotide non-coding RNA. NCBI's taxonomy places the organism in Eukaryota, Metazoa, Arthropoda, Insecta, Lepidoptera, Bombycidae. The record is from Rfam.